RNAcentral lists this ribosomal RNA (301 nucleotides) under uncultured bacterium. RNAcentral's name for it is "partial 16S ribosomal RNA". It matches the Rfam family "Bacterial small subunit ribosomal RNA", at positions 509 to 807 of the family's 1533-position model. The record is from RNAcentral.
CAGCCGCCACGGUAAUACGUAGGUGGCAAGCGUUGUCCGGAAUUAUUGGGCGUAAAGGGCUCGCAGGCGGUUUCUUAAGUCUGAUGCGAAAGCCCCCGGCUCAACCGGGGAGGGUCAUUGGAUACUGGGAAACUUGAGUGCAGAAGAGGAGAGUGGAAUUCCACGUGUAGCGGUGAAAUGCGUAGAGAUGUGGAGGAACGCCAGUGGCGAAGGCGACUCUCUGGUCUGUAACUGACGCUGAGGAGCGAAAGCGUGGGGAGCGAACAGGAUUAGAUACCCCCGUAGUCCCUGUCUCUUAUAC